This 1091-nucleotide unclassified non-coding RNA is filed under the name Hevea brasiliensis (rubber tree). The record is from RNAcentral. Lineage: Eukaryota; Viridiplantae; Streptophyta; Magnoliopsida; Malpighiales; Euphorbiaceae.
CGCACGGCCCUCUCUCUCCGUUUGGUAGCUGAAGGGCAAGCCCAAUUCCAAAGGUUUACUGCCUUCCAAUCUCGGCUUUGAUCUUCUUUUCUACAUCCUAUCCGCCGCUGCCGUAGAACUGCUCAUUGCUUUUCUUCCAUCUCUUCCGCUGUUUUGUCAAGAAGCAAUCCAUCAGCUGUUGUUCUAUGCAGAAGAAAAUUUCCUUCAUCUUGCAGGUUACAUCUAUUUAUUGAAGUAAAAAGACCGGUGACAAGAUAGUACAUUAAUUUAUCCAGCGAGGCAAACACAAGUCGACACAAUGGGGAGGGCGAAAAAGGGCCCUAAAUUUGCAGUAAUGAAGAAGAUAGUCACCUCAAAAGCAAUUAAAAAAUACAAAGAAGAGGUUUUGAAUCCAAAUAAAAAAGAUCUCUCCAAGGAAAAGCUCCCUCGAAAUGUGCCACAAGUUUCUUCUGCACUUUACUUCACAUACAACACAGCAUUGGGGCCACCGUACAGGGUUUUGGUGGAUACCAACUUUAUCAAUUUCUCCAUCCAAAAUAAAUUGGAUUUGGAGAAGGCAAUGAUGGAUUGUUUGUAUGCAAAAUGUACACCUUGUAUCACUGAUUGUGUUAUGGCAGAGCUUGAGAAGUUAGGUCAGAAAUACCGUGUAGCUCUGAGGAUUGCUAAGGAUCCACGUUUUGAGAGACUGCCAUGUCUACACAAAGGGACUUAUGCUGAUGACUGUAUUGUUGAUAGGGUUACUCAGCAUAAAUGCUACAUUGUUGCCACAUGUGAUCGUGAUCUGAAGCGAAGGAUACGCAAGAUCCCUGGUGUGCCAAUUAUGUACAUUACUCAACACAAAUAUUCAAUUGAGCGGAUGCCUGAAGCAACAAUAGGUGGAGCUCCAAGAUUUUGACGCAUCUUACAAGAGUGGGAAGAUAUAUGGUUUUGUCAUAAUCUCAUCUGCUGUUUACAUAUUAUGAUAUCUAAGCCCACAACCUGUCUUUUUUAUUUAUUUCCAUCCAUUGUUAGGUGAUGUCCUCUAGAAUUUUUAGUGCCUGUCAUGAGCUGAGGUUGUUUCCUUCUAUCAAAAUUUCUGUUACUAUCUUUUG